Molecule: transfer RNA, 76 nt
Filed under: Rhodospirillaceae bacterium
Lineage: Bacteria; Pseudomonadati; Pseudomonadota; Alphaproteobacteria; Rhodospirillales; Rhodospirillaceae
Description: tRNA-Lys
Rfam family: tRNA
About the family: Transfer RNA (tRNA) molecules are approximately 80 nucleotides in length. Their secondary structure includes four short double-helical elements and three loops (D, anti-codon, and T loops).
Source: RNAcentral
GGGCACGUAGCUCAGUUGGUAGAGCAUCCGCCUUUUAAGCGGACGGUCACAGGUUCGAAUCCUGUCGUGCCUACCA